UAUAUGUGGUAGAACAUUUGUGUGAUGAGUACCCACAUAGGGUGGUGAGCUUGUGUUACUAGUGAUAGUGGUGUGUGAUUGCCUAUUGACAUCCGGUGUCAAAGGCAAUAAGGUUUGUUAGCUUAUAGUCUUACGGGUUUUGUAAGGUGUUUCUUGAGAAGGCGUAUGGUUGUGGGCCUCCUUUUUAAGGAGGGUAAAUUGUAAUGUCCCAUAUUUUUUUGAAUUUUUAUUUUAUUUAUUUUUUGUGCCUUAUUUUGCGUGCCACGCGUUUCCCGAGGCCCGGUAGGUCAUUUUCUUGAGCCAAUAGUUUUAGAAGUGUAUUUUUUAUUAUUUUAAGUCAAUUAGAGGCGACAAGAUAAAUUUUUAAAUUUUUUGGAAGUCGGGACGAUUUCUAGGCUCAGGAACUUCUCCCAAUUUUACCAUUUUCAUUGAGGGGCAUUAUGGACUUUUCUCAUGCAUAUACAUGUAUAUGUAUCUAUGUAUUAGAGGAGAUAUUUUGUGGGAUAUGAAAGGCAUUAAAUGGAUGAGUGAGGGCAAGAUUGUAACUUGACCUAAAGUUAGUAACCUACCAAACUUGGACACUGGGCAAAGGGAAGGCCAUACACACCAUUUGAACUUGGCUAACCCACCCCUUUCUUUCCCCACUUCGGCUAGCUCUCUCUCUCUCUCUCUCUAGGAUUUUCUUCUUCCACUCUCUAUAUCUAUAUACACACAUGACUAUAUGUUUCAUCUUCAAAAUUGAGAGGUUUAAGGUGAGAUUUUGGUGAUAAGCAAGGAGAGAGUUUUGUUCCACUUGUCUAAAACUUCCAUUUGAGACCAACCUUGCACACACUUGGAGGAUUUCAAAAUCUAGGGUUGCUAAGAGCUUGAUUGGCUAGCACAAAUUGAGUUUAUCGCAUAUCCUGCGGGAAGCAAAUUGUUUGACCCAUGAAGCGGCGAAGCUCUCCAAAUUUUCAGUGCAUUUGCUUCAGUUGGUGGAGAGGGAUUGUGGGGGUCUUGUCAUGCAUUGUUCCUCUAUUUUUCUUUUUGUGUGUUUGUUUUGUUGCCUUGUUAAAAAUUAAGAAAUUAAAAAAAUACUAAGACUCAUUCUCUUAA
Molecule: long non-coding RNA, 1095 nt
Organism: Cornus florida
Lineage: Eukaryota; Viridiplantae; Streptophyta; Magnoliopsida; Cornales; Cornaceae
Exons: 2
Source: RefSeq, a predicted model, not a curated record